This 372-nucleotide ribosomal RNA is filed under the name uncultured organism. Its description in RNAcentral is "bacterial SSU rRNA". It matches the Rfam family "Bacterial small subunit ribosomal RNA", at positions 528 to 896 of the family's 1533-position model. The record is from RNAcentral.
GAGGGUGCGAGCGUUGUUCGGAAUUACUGGGCGUAAAGCGCGCGCAGGCGGUCCUUUAAGUCUACCCGUGAAAUGCCGGAGCUCAACUCCGUGCACGCCGGGGGAUACUGGAGGACUGGAGACAGGUAGAGGCAGGCGGAAUUCCGGGUGUAGCGGUGGAAUGCGUAGAGAUCCGGAAGAACACCAGAGGCGAAGGCGGCCUGCUGGGCCUUGUCUGACGCUGAGGCGCGAAAGCGUGGGGAGCGAACAGGAUUAGAUACCCUGGUAGUCCACGCCGUAAACGAUGGGCACUGGGCGCGGGUGGGAUCGACCCCUUCCGUGCCGCAGCUAACGCGCUAAGUGCCCCGCCUGGGGAGUACGGCCGCAAGGCUG